UACGGAGGGUGCGAGCGUUAAUCGGAAUUACUGGGCGUAAAGCGCGCGUAGGCGGUUCGAUAAGUCAGAUGUGAAAUCCCCGGGCUCAACCUGGGAAUGGCAUUUGAUACUGUCAGACUGGAGUGUGGUAGAGGGAAGUGGAAGUCCGCAUGUAGCGGUGAAAUGCGUAGAUAUGCGGAGGAACACCAGUGGCGAAAGCGGCUUCCUGGACCAACACUGACGCUGAGGUGCGAAAGCGUGGGGAGCAAACAGG
This 253-nucleotide ribosomal RNA is filed under the name uncultured bacterium. RNAcentral describes it as "partial 16S ribosomal RNA". It matches the Rfam family "Bacterial small subunit ribosomal RNA", at positions 524 to 776 of the family's 1533-position model. The record is from RNAcentral.